This 64-nucleotide transfer RNA is filed under the name Phyllothelys shaanxiense. RNAcentral's name for it is "tRNA-Asn". RNAcentral also lists the same sequence under 1 other name. The record is from RNAcentral. Lineage: Eukaryota; Metazoa; Arthropoda; Insecta; Mantodea; Hymenopodidae.
UUAAUUGAAACCAAACAGAGGUUUAUCACUGUUAAUGAUAAUAAUGAAUUUAAUUCCAAUUAAG